GGCUCAGGAUGAACGCUAGCGGCAGGCUUAACACAUGCAAGUCGAGCGGUAGAGAGGUGCUUGCAUCUCUUGAGAGCGGCGGACGGGUGAGUAAUGCCUAGGAAUCUGCCUAGUGGUGGGGGAUAACGUUCGGAAACGGACGCUAAUACCGCAUACGUCCUACGGGAGAAAGCGGGGGGAUCUUCGGACCUCGCGCCAUUAGAUGAGCCUAGGUCGGAUUAGCUAGUUGGUGAGGUAAUGGCUCACCAAGGCGACGAUCCGUAACUGGUCUGAGAGGAUGAUCAGUCACACUGGAACUGAGACACGGUCCAGACUCCUACGGGAGGCAGCAGUGGGGAAUAUUGGACAAUGGGCGAAAGCCUGAUCCAGCCAUGCCGCGUGUGUGAAGAAGGUCUUCGGAUUGUAAAGCACUUUAAGUUGGGAGGAAGGGUAGUAACCUAAUACGUUGCUACUUUGACGUUACCGACAGAAUAAGCACCGGCUAACUUCGUG
RNAcentral lists this ribosomal RNA (492 nucleotides) under uncultured bacterium. RNAcentral describes it as "bacterial SSU rRNA". It matches the Rfam family "Bacterial small subunit ribosomal RNA", at positions 21 to 507 of the family's 1533-position model. The record is from RNAcentral.